RNAcentral lists this ribosomal RNA (908 nucleotides) under Bipolaris gigantea. RNAcentral's name for it is "partial large subunit ribosomal RNA". It matches the Rfam family "Eukaryotic large subunit ribosomal RNA", at positions 38 to 964 of the family's 3401-position model. Lineage: Eukaryota; Fungi; Ascomycota; Dothideomycetes; Pleosporales; Pleosporaceae. The record is from RNAcentral.
GCAUAUCAAUAAGCGGAGGAAAAGAAACCAACAGGGAUUGCCCUAGUAACGGCGAGUGAAGCGGCAACAGCUCAAAUUUGAAAUCUGGCUCUUUCAGAGUCCGAGUUGUAAUUUGCAGAGGGCGCUUUGGCUUUGGCAGCGGUCCAAGUUCCUUGGAACAGGACGUCACAGAGGGUGAGAAUCCCGUACGUGGUCGCUAGCUAUUGCCGUGUAAAGCCCCUUCGACGAGUCGAGUUGUUUGGGAAUGCAGCUCUAAAUGGGAGGUAAAUUUCUUCUAAAGCUAAAUAUUGGCCAGAGACCGAUAGCGCACAAGUAGAGUGAUCGAAAGAUGAAAAGCACUUUGGAAAGAGAGUCAAACAGCACGUGAAAUUGUUGAAAGGGAAGCGCUUGCAGCCAGACAUGCUUGCAGUUGCUCAUCCGGGCUUUUGCCCGGUGCACUCUUCUGUAGGCAGGCCAGCAUCAGUUUGGGCGGUGGGAUAAAGGUCUCUGUCACGUACCUCUCUUCGGGGAGGCCUUAUAGGGGAGACGACAUACCACCAGCCUAGACUGAGGUCCGCGCAUCUGCUAGGAUGCUGGCGUAAUGGCUGUAAGCGGCCCGUCUUGAAACACGGACCAAGGAGUCUAACAUCUAUGCGAGUGUUUGGGUGUCAAGCCCGAGCGCGUAAUGAAAGUGAACGGAGGUGGGAACCCGCAAGGGUGCACCAUCGACCGAUCCUGAAGUUUACGGAAGGAUUUGAGUAAGAGCAUGGCUGUUGGGACCCGAAAGAUGGUGAACUAUGCUUGAAUAGGGUGAAGCCAGAGGAAACUCUGGUGGAGGCUCGCAGCGGUUCUGACGUGCAAAUCGAUCGUCAAAUUUGGGCAUAGGGGCGAAAGACUAAUCGAACUAUCUAGUAGCUGGUUCCUGCCGA